GAUGAACGCUGGCGGCGUGCCUAAUACAUGCAAGUCGAACGCGCCGAGAAGGGAACUUGUUCCUUUCAACGCGAGUGGCGAACGGGUGAGUAACACGUGGGAAACCUACCCUUCAGCGGGGGAUAACCAUCGGAAACGAUGACUAAUACCGCAUAGUUGUUCCAGUCGCAUGACUGGAAUGGGAAAGACGGCUUCGGCUGGCACUGAAGGAUGGUCCCGCGGUGCAUUAGCUAGACGGUGGGGUAACGGCCUACCGUGGCUUGAUGCAUAGCCGACCUGAGAGGGUGAUCGGCCACAUUGGGACUGAGACACGGCCCAAACUCCUACGGGAGGCAGCAGUAGGGAAUCUUCCGCAAUGGACGCAAGUCUGACGGAGCAACGCCGCGUGUGUGAAGAAGGUCUUCGGAUCGUAAAGCACUGUUAUCAGAGAAGAAUAGCCUAUAGAGUAACUGUUAUAGGUUUGACGGUAACUGAUCAGAAAGCCACGGCUAACUACGUG
Molecule: ribosomal RNA, 499 nt
Filed under: uncultured bacterium
Lineage: Bacteria
Description: partial 16S ribosomal RNA
Rfam family: Bacterial small subunit ribosomal RNA
Source: RNAcentral